Molecule: ribosomal RNA, 253 nt
Filed under: uncultured bacterium
Lineage: Bacteria
Description: partial 16S ribosomal RNA
Rfam family: Bacterial small subunit ribosomal RNA
Source: RNAcentral
UACGAAGGGGGCUAGCGUUGCCCGGAAUUACUGGGCGUAAAGCGCGCGCAGGCGGCUUUGCAAGUCAGAUGUGAAAUCCCCGGGCUUAACCUGGGAACUGCAUUUGUGACUGCAUGGCUGGAGUGCGGCAGAGGGGGAUGGAAUUCCGCGUGUAGCAGUGAAAUGCGUAGAUAUGCGGAGGAACACCGAUGGCGAAGGCAAUCCCCUGGGCCUGCACUGACGCUCAUGCGCGAAAGCGUGGGGAGCAAACAGG